RNAcentral lists this ribosomal RNA (402 nucleotides) under uncultured Hypotrichia. RNAcentral's name for it is "partial small subunit ribosomal RNA". It matches the Rfam family "Eukaryotic small subunit ribosomal RNA", at positions 30 to 432 of the family's 1831-position model. Lineage: Eukaryota; Ciliophora; Spirotrichea. The record is from RNAcentral.
GCUUGUCUCAAAGAUUAAGCCAUGCAUGUCUAAGUAUAAACAACUUUGUACUGUGAAACUGCGAAUGGCUCAUUAUAUCAGUUAUAGUCUACUCGAUAGUACCUUACUACUUGGAUAACCGUGGUAAUUCUAGAGCUAAUACAUGCUGUUUAGCCUGACUUCUAGGAAGGGCUGUAUUUAUUAGAUAACAAACCAAUAUUCCUCGUGUCUAUUGUGAUGACUCAUAAUAACUGAUCGAAUCGCAUGGGCUUUGCCCGCGAUACAUCAUUCAAGUUUCUGCCCCAUCAGCUUUCGAUGGUAGUGUAUUGGACUACCAUGGCUUUAACGGGUAACGGAGGAUUAGGGUUCGAUUCCGGAGAGGGAGCCUGAGAAACGGCUACCACAUCUAAGGAAGGCAGCAGG